Molecule: long non-coding RNA, 1025 nt
Organism: Colossoma macropomum (tambaqui)
Lineage: Eukaryota; Metazoa; Chordata; Actinopteri; Characiformes; Serrasalmidae
Exons: 3
Source: RefSeq, a predicted model, not a curated record
UCAACGUUGAUAUCGCGUCAUUUUCGUCUUUUUUUGGUUGAUGACCAAAAAUCAACUACAAAUCAACGUUGCCAUAGGUUGAAUCCUUAAACCUUGUUUCAACGUUGAAAGCAAGACGUUGAAUCAAUGUUGAAUUGUAGUUACUGUCUUCAACCAUACUAACUCUGCUAGCAAAUAGGCUGUUUGGCUGAGUGUUGAAACUGACGGCUGACUGAGACUCGCGCAAAAACAGCAUCUGACCCAUGUAUGGCAAAGCUUAAAAAAGGUAUUGUUUUCAGUGAGGUAGGCAUUCCUCUGUGGGCUUGACCAUGGUAUAUGAACAAUAUGUGCUUCUAAUUGCUAGGCUCUACUAAGGUUUUGAUGGUGCAAUAUGUAUUUCUAAAUGUAAAUUAUGUUGCAUAUAGUGUUUUCUGACCAAAAACCAAGAUGUAUUCCUUAUGCAUGCUGAUUUAUAAGCAUAUAUUUAAAACAAUCAAGCAAGUUUUACUUUGUAAGAAUUCGUGAAAUAAGCAAAAAAAAAGGAACAUUGCUUUCAUCUUUUAUCAACUUCAUAGCACAUGCGAAUACACUACCUUUGUAAAAAAAAAGGCCGCUUUUAAGAAUCAUAAAAAAACAACUGAAUCCCCAAAAUGUCCGGCCUGACCCCGCCCUUAUAGCGCGAGUCUCUCGAAAUUCGAUGUGACCGUUAAGCCAAACGCGACCGUUUCCAGCUGUGUAUAUUCAAAUCAUACUCACCAAAUGAACGAUACCUGUUUAACUACAAUUCUAUUAACCUGGUACAGUAAAACCUCUUCACAACAUUCGCUUAUGCUCAUUACUUAGAUGACUGAUGCGUGAUGACAGAAACUGCAGCUCCAAAACACUGAAGACUCUUCUCACCGAGCGCUAACGCGUAUACGUUACUGGAUCAUGUGGAAUGAGGACGAACUCACUUCCUCUGCUUGUAAAAGAGCUUUGGAAAUCACCAGCAGAAUGACUGGCCAAUUGGACAUGCUGGAUUGCCCCUGGGUUUGAGUGUGUGUGUG